This 609-nucleotide ribosomal RNA is filed under the name Triticum aestivum (bread wheat). Its description in RNAcentral is "partial small subunit ribosomal RNA". The record is from RNAcentral. Lineage: Eukaryota; Viridiplantae; Streptophyta; Magnoliopsida; Poales; Poaceae.
AUGGAGAAUGGAUUGUUGAAGCUUUGGUCAAUGGUUGAAGAGAGCAAGUGUGCUAGGGUGAAUGAUAAUCUUGAAAGUGCUUUAACUAUUCACCAGUUGACAGAAGAAAAGAACAAGCUGGAUGCAGACUAUGACAAGUUGGUGAAAGAUGUGCAUCAACUUGUGGAUAUGCAGGAGGAUAGGGUUGUGGAUUUCAGCUAUCUGCAGUCCAACAUCACAUAUCAGCAGGAAUGCAGAGCUGAGUUGGUUGCUGGUAUGAAGGCAGAAAUGGCGAAGAAAGAUGCAGCUACAGAGAAGCUUCAACAGAAGUAUGAAAUUAUGUGCAACCUGACAAGUGCUCAAGAAACUGUCAUCCAAAACCUGAAGUUGAAGAAUAUGAAAGAGAAGGAAUUGCUGAGUGAGGCUAAGAUGAAUUUGGAGUUGAAGAAUGCAGAGUUCACACAGUUUGAGGAGAAGCUCACCCAAGAGAAGCUAGAGUUGAAGUUCCAGGUUGCUGAUCUGCUGAAGCUCAAGGAAAACCAUAAUGAAGAGAAGCAGAUGCAAGAGUUUAAGAUUACUGAGCUCAUGAAGGCACAGGAGAAGCUGAAGGAGAAGAUCAAGGGGAUCUAG